Molecule: ribosomal RNA, 460 nt
Filed under: uncultured bacterium
Lineage: Bacteria
Description: partial 16S ribosomal RNA
Rfam family: Bacterial small subunit ribosomal RNA
Source: RNAcentral
CCUACGGGCGGCAGCAGUGAGGAAUAUUGGUCAAUGGGCUUACGCCUGAACCAGCCAAGUCGCGUGAGGGAAGACUGCCCUAUGGGUUGUAAACCUCUUUUGUCAGGGAGCAACGCCGGCUACGUGUAGCCGGACUGAGAGUACCUGAAGAAAAAGCAUCGGCUAACUCCGUGCCAGCAGCCGCGGUAAUACGGAGGAUGCGAGCGUUAUCCGGAUUUAUUGGGUUUAAGGGGUGCGUAGGCGGAAUGCCAAGUCAGCGGUAAAAUCGCGGGGCUCAACCUCGCUCCGCCGUUGAAACUGGCGGUCUUGAGUGGGCGAGAAGUAUGCGGAAUGCGUGGUGUAGCGGUGAAAUGCAUAGAUAUCACGAAGAACUCCGAUUGCGAAGGCAGCAUACCGGCGCCCAACUGACGCUGAAGCACGAAAGCGUGGGUAUCGAACAGGAUUAGAUACCCUAGUAGUC